Carassius carassius (crucian carp) is the source of this 1192-nucleotide long non-coding RNA. RefSeq lists it as uncharacterized. The record is from RefSeq and is a predicted model, not a curated record. The transcript is spliced from 2 exons. Lineage: Eukaryota; Metazoa; Chordata; Actinopteri; Cypriniformes; Cyprinidae.
UCAAAAAUACUCUCUUACUCUUUCUUGAUGGGCAGAGACACAGUCAGCUAUUAGUAGGUGAGUCCACCAAAAGUGUGAACACUGUGAUUCUGCAGAGCUUUGUAAAUGUCACUCUGUCACUAACACCAUAUAGCAACAUUUGCUCAGCCAAUGGCUUGAGUUUGGGUAAAUAGCAUCUUCUCUGGUAAACAAGCAAUCAUGUUAUGGUGGUUGGGUCUGUAUGUGUUUUAACUUGAAAACAUUCUGAUCUGUUUAGCAUCUUGGCCAUUUUUGAUUAUCUGACUCCUUCCCACCCCAGAUACCUAAUUUUCCCUGAGCCUUGAUCAGCUGAGGUUUGUCCAGUUGUUACACCAAAGUCUGUUGUUAGCUUCAAAUUUUAGCUAAUUUUUAAAUCCUCUCAGAUUUCAUAUAUAUUUAUCUGAAAUUAGUUUGACACUUUAGUCUUUUGCUCCGGCUAAAUAUCUCUUAAUGGUAAUCAGUGCACUUUAGAGCCAAAAUUGUACAAGAUACCAGUUGUUUGUGAAGUUUAUUUUUCUUAACCUAUUGGCAAAUGCUUCUAUUAAACAUGUUAAGCCUUGCCUGUAUAGUGAAAUGGAUUUUAUAGAUAUCGAAGCAAAUGACCAAAGAGCAAAGUUAUGUAAAAGUCAGUCAAGAUAAAGUCCUCCCCUCAAGAAUAGAUCUCAGGAAAAUACACAUCAAAGAGAUGUUUAAUAGUACCUAUGCAGACACAGAAUUUUAUAAAAAAAAACUAUAUAUAUAUUGAGAAAUAGUUAGAAUUACCACAGUGUUAUCUAAAAAUAAAUUUACCAUUGCAAUGUCAAUGAAUUUUGCGUGAAUUGUCUUUAGAGCAACUGUAACUUGUAACGCUGGUUUUAAUAUGUUCCUAGUGCGGUGGCUUGGCUUUAGUGUCGGUCUUAUUGUUUUCUGUAAAAUCUACUUUUUUUAUUUUUUACAUUUGUACUUCUUCCUAUUGUUAGAAACAUUACAUUACAAACAUUACAUUAUGUUCUAUAUGUAAGGGAUAAUGUCAAAUUUAUAUGUAAGGGAUAAAGCCUGUCAUCAUCAUAAGUUAACAUGGAUGGGGGUGAUCAGGACCCCAGCACAAAGUGCAAGGGGUUGUCCUGGUUUUUUAUUUUUUUGGAAUAUAAUGAUUUUAUCAUAUGGCUACCUAACAAAUAAAGAUAUAAAUGCA